GACGAACGCUGGCGGCGUGCUUAACACAUGCAAGUCGAACGGAAAGGCCCUGCUUUUGUGGGGUGCUCGAGUGGCGAACGGGUGAGUAACAAGUGAGUAACCUGCCCUUGACUUUGGGAUAACUUCCGGAAACUGGGGCUAAUACCGGCUAGGAGCUCCUGCUGCAUGGUGGGGGUUGGAAAGUUUCGGCGGUUGGGGAUGGACUCGCGGCUUAUCAGCUUGUUGGUGGGGUAGUGGCUUACCAAGGCUUUGACGGGUAGCCGGCCUGAGAGGGUGACCGGCCACAUUGGGACUGAGAUACGGCCCAGACUCCUACGGGAGGCAGCAGUGGGGAAUAUUGCACGAUGGGCGGAAGCCUGAUGCAGCAACGCCGCGUGCGGGAUGACGGCCUUCGGGUUGUAAACCGCUUUCGCCUUUGACGAAGCGUGAGUGACGGUAAUGGGUAAAGAAGCACCGGCUAACUACGUG
Molecule: ribosomal RNA, 468 nt
Filed under: uncultured bacterium
Lineage: Bacteria
Description: partial 16S ribosomal RNA
Rfam family: Bacterial small subunit ribosomal RNA
Source: RNAcentral